AGCUGGGACUACAGGCCCCAGAUGAAUCUUUGUACAACAAAGUUGAGAAUCAUAGCCCUGGCGUUUCAGAAGACAAGAAAUGGUUUCUUUGGAUCAAUUCUUUGCUCUUUGAAACAAGAUGAUCCAUCUCACACUGAAAGUUUCCUAUCAUGAAGUUCAGUGUCAUCUAGUCAAUGGAUGAAGUAUAAGAGUUCACAAUGGGAUUUCUACAACACAAAAAAAAGAGGCUGGAAAAAGAAGAUAAACUGAAUAUUGAAACUGCUCCUUUUCUAUUAAAAAAUAGCAAAAAAUGUUUUCCCUGUAA
Rhinopithecus roxellana (golden snub-nosed monkey) is the source of this 304-nucleotide long non-coding RNA. RefSeq lists it as uncharacterized. The transcript has 2 exons. The record is from RefSeq and is a predicted model, not a curated record. Lineage: Eukaryota; Metazoa; Chordata; Mammalia; Primates; Cercopithecidae.